Molecule: long non-coding RNA, 976 nt
Organism: Entelurus aequoreus (snake pipefish)
Lineage: Eukaryota; Metazoa; Chordata; Actinopteri; Syngnathiformes; Syngnathidae
Exons: 6
Source: RefSeq, a predicted model, not a curated record
GCAGAUCCCGAAUCUCCAGCGGUACCCUGUUGGACAAGAUGAUAACACAUUUAAGAACAAAGAAGAUUAAAGACGCAGAAGUCAAGGCUAUGAAUUCCUUACGGGAGGUCCAGGAAGACCCUGCAAACCGGUGAAUCCUCUGUGACCCUUCUGUCCUCUCUCACCAGUCUCACCACUCUCUCCCUUAUCUCCACGUGGUCCUUGGGGACCCUGGGAUGUUACUCACAGCCAUUCCUCGUGCGCCAGCAAGUCCAGGUGGUCCUGAAGGUCCUUGUGCACCCUGAAGAUAAAAUAGUUAUUUUCUUACAAGGUCCAACAGGUCCAGGGGCACCGGGACCACCAGGAGCACCAGGGGCACCAGCAGGACCAGAGUUUCCUCGUUCUCCCUAUAGAAGAUCACCAAGUGCCGAUUUAUUGGCUGCCAACAGAUCCGUCCCUACCAGGUGGUCCAUCUGAUCCAGGGGUACCCUGAAACACAGAAAUACAAUUAAUUCACACCUCUCUUCCAGUCUCUCCAGAAGGUCCAGUAAGUCCAGGGGGUCCUACAGGUCCAGGAGGUCCACGGUCACCAGAAGAGCCAGGUCCUCCUUGUUUACCAGGCUCACCCUAAAAACAAGAAAAGGUCCAGGAAGGCCAGGGAAGCCUCUCUCACCACGCUGUCCAGGCAAACCAACAAUACCACGAGACCCAGCCAGACCCUGAGGACCUGAAGGUCCGUCAGCACCCUACGGAGACAGAAAGGAUAGGAUCUCGCCCCGCUUUCUUCAUAGCAAUUGGAAACGUAAUUCAGUCUGUGAGGAGAACUCACAGGGGGUCCAUCUUCUCCGGGCUCUCCCUUCUCUCCUUGUCCGCCAGCGGGUCCUCGAAGACCAGCAUCUCCAUGUCUUCCUGGGGGUCCAGCGUCACCACGGGCACCCUUUGGUCCGUCUUUUCCAGAAGGGCCAGCAGGUCCAACAGCACCAGGGUUGCCCUGUGA